CGGUUUGGCACCUCGAUGUCGGCUUGUCACAUCCUGGGGCUGGAGAAGGUCCCAAGGGUCCGGCUGUUCGCCGGUUAAAGUGGCACAUGAGCUGGGUUCAGAACGUCGUGAGACAGUUCGGUCUGUAUCCGGUGUGGGCGUUGGAGUGUUGAGGGGCGUCGUCCGUAGUACGAGAGGACCCGGACGAAGCGACCGCUCGUGUCCCGGCUGUGCCGCCAGGCGCAACGCCGGUUAGCGAUGUCGCGCGGGGAUAACCGCUGAAUGCAUCUAAGUGGGAAACCCUCCCCAAGAUGAACACUCCCGAGCCGUAAGGCUCCUCAAGGGCCCUGGGAGACUACCAGGUUGAUAGGCGGCAGGUGUAAGGCGCGCGAGCGCUUCAGCCGAGCCGUACUAAUUGCCCGUGAGGCUUGAUCUCUCC
RNAcentral lists this ribosomal RNA (418 nucleotides) under Gemmatimonadota bacterium. RNAcentral describes it as "bacterial LSU rRNA". It matches the Rfam family "Bacterial large subunit ribosomal RNA", at positions 2514 to 2925 of the family's 2925-position model. The record is from RNAcentral. Lineage: Bacteria; Pseudomonadati; Gemmatimonadota.